GAUGAACGCUGGCGGCGUGCCUAAUACAUGCAAGUCGAGCGAACAGACGAGGAGCUUGCUCCUCUGACGUUAGCGGCGGACGGGUGAGUAACACGUGGAUAACCUACCUAUAAGGCUGGGAUAACUUCGGGAAACCGGAGCUAAUACCGGAUAAUAUAUUGAACCGCAUGGUUCAAUAGUGAAAGACGGUUUUGCUGUCACUUAUAGAUGGAUCCGCGCAGCAUUAGCUAGUUGGUAAGGUAACGGCUUACCAAGGCGACGAUGCGUAGCCGACCUGAGAGGGUGAUCGGCCACACUGGAACUGAGACACGGUCCAGACUCCUACGGGAGGCAGCAGUAGGGAAUCUUCCGCAAUGGGCGAAAGCCUGACGGAGCAACGCCGCGUGAGUGAUGAAGGUCUUCGGAUCGUAAAGCUCUGUUAUUAGGGAAGAACAAAUGUGUAAGUAACUAUGCACGUCUUGACGGUACCUAAUCAGAAAGCCACGGCUAACUACGUG
This 497-nucleotide ribosomal RNA is filed under the name uncultured bacterium. RNAcentral's name for it is "partial 16S ribosomal RNA". It matches the Rfam family "Bacterial small subunit ribosomal RNA", at positions 28 to 507 of the family's 1533-position model. The record is from RNAcentral.